This 1410-nucleotide long non-coding RNA is filed under the name Gopherus agassizii (Agassiz's desert tortoise). RNAcentral's name for it is "lncRNA (ENSGAGG00000016870.1)". The record is from RNAcentral. Lineage: Eukaryota; Metazoa; Chordata; Testudines; Testudinidae.
CUAAAAUUUCAUACUGACAAUGUCUUGUUUAUUCUGCUGUAUAUACUAUACAUAGAAAUGUAAGUACAAUAUUAACAUUCAGUUGAAUUAUAAUUAUCUAGUAAAAAUAAGUAAGCAAUUUUUCAGUAAUAGUGUACUGUGACCCUUUUGUAUUUUUAUGUCUGAUUUUGUAAGCAAGUAGUUUUUAAGUGAGGUGGGUUACAAGGCUGUCUCUCUUGGCAUGCAGUACUGUACCAGACAUCAUGCAAAGUCAACCUUCUUUUCUUGUUCUUUCUUUUCCUUUUCUUCCUCAGGGGUUUAGGGAGAAGAUGGGUUCAAAGCUGAGGAUAGUCUGGGGAUCACUAUCCAGCUUCUGGAAAAGAGAGGGUGACUUUGCCAGUCAACUGCCAGCUCCCCAGCCAUCAGCCUGACCCGAAUCUCCCCAAGCAUGAGUGUUUCCACCUGCCCAAGAGACAGUACUAACUUCGACCUGAUGGAACAGCGCUACAAUCACAUGUCCACAUCUGACCAUAACGGAGCAUCUUUAUUUAACCUUACCCUCUUCCUGAGUUUCGUUGGGUCAUUUGACUGAAACAAAAAUCACAGGUUUGUAAGUGAGAUAAGAACAUUGUGGUUGCAUCCCUAUUUAAUAGGGUUCUAACCCUAUUCCCAAUGUCAAAUUCAUUGUAACAAUAUUACCUUAAUCAUGCAAGAGAAAUGUAAAAAACAAAGAUGAUUUUGUAUUGUAGCACUUAACGUAAAUACUUUAACUAUGUGUGAUGAAAAGCUAGAGCUUGAGAUAAUUGAAAAGGAGCCUAAAAUAUAGCUCUAGUGAUGGACUGCAAAGUAGCAUCAAAAGAAGCUUCUAACCACAACACAACAGCUACAUUUUGCAUUAUUGCCCAUGGCCUGUCCCUGACUUUUACUAAAAAUAUCCAUGAUAAAAUCUUAGUCUUAGCCAUGAUAGAGACAUCCAAUGACAAAUGAGAGACCAAGGUAUCGCUUUGACUAAUGCAGCUACUGGUCAGAUUGAUAUGGACUAAUAUUAACUGGAAGAUUAGUAUUUGUGAUGGUGCAAUCUUUAAAAACAGAGAGGAAAAUAGGUGGUGAUUUGUGGCUUUGAUUUGCAGUGACUGUGUAUGAGUAAUCUGUAUAGUUUAUAUUUAUUCCUGAUUCACCGUACACAAUGUAGGAAAGCCCUGUGAUGUCAGAUUUAAGUGUUUACAUAAAUUUUCACAAAACAAAGAGAAAGCAAGUUCAGGCCUAGUGACUAGAAAAUAAUUAAUUUAGGGAGUAACCUUGAAGUCCUUAUUCAAUCCUUAAUCAGGCAAAAGUCGUAGACACCACUGAAGUCAAGUAGAAUAUUUAUCAUUGACUUCAAGGGGAACAGUAUUUCGUUCUCAGACUUCAAGAGUUGACCCUUACUGUAGG